Long non-coding RNA from Poecile atricapillus (Black-capped chickadee), 7286 nucleotides. RefSeq lists it as uncharacterized. The transcript is spliced from 9 exons. The record is from RefSeq and is a predicted model, not a curated record. Lineage: Eukaryota; Metazoa; Chordata; Aves; Passeriformes; Paridae.
CUUAAGUGUUUGUGAUUGACACUGAGAUAAUAUUCAAUGAGGAAUUGUAACAUAUGUAACACGUGCUUUGAUGUUUAAAGUGUCCUCUCUCAAAGCAGCAGCAUAACUGGUGGCUAUUAGUGAUUAUUAAAGACAUGGAUAUGUUACUAAUCAGGCAACUAAGUUGCCAGGCCAAAUUCUAAAUCUGUAAUUAUAUUGGGCCUCCUUAAAACCAGGAGGCAUGCUUGUACUAUUUCUGUCUAAAAUCACUGUAUCUGAUAAAACCAAUUAAUAUGGUUAUUUUUCUUAAUUUUCUUUUUCUGUGGCCCAGGACAGAAAAAAGCCGAAUGCUUAAUUUUUGACGCUUUAUUAUGCAAAUGAAACAAUUCUUCCAUUUUCUUUUGAAAAUUUCACCUUCUAAGUUUUCAGGACAGUUUUAGAUUUGAAGUUGCUUUAUUUUGUCACUUCAAGUCAUGUCAUGUUGCCAGUAAAAACUGGCUUUGUGUGCAUGUCUGCUAUAUUAGUUUGCUUACAGCUCAGGUAUUUCUGUGGUUUUGCUGCAGCCAAUAAUGGAUUACGACUGACAAGAGCUGUUUAUUUGAGUGACAAGCGUGUGUUGUUUUGUCUCUGUUUUUAAAUGAGUAGAUUUUUCUCAUACUGAAAAUAACAGGUAGCUAUCCAUAGUAAAGUUUCUUUAGCAAAUAGUGAAAACCAGUAACGUUUGUCUGUGCCUGUUCUGGAGUUUUUGAAGCCUGAUUUUGAUAGAUCACAAACAUUGUGAAAUCAUGCUGAUAAAAUACUUGUUUAGCGUGAUGUCUCUUGAAACUUGCCCAGAAAAAGCCUUUGUCAUUUUUGAUUUGUGAAAGCAAGGACAACCACAUUCUUGAAAGACGUAUAAUAGUAGCAUCUCCUUGCUACCAUCAUGAACCAAAUUUAGAUGAUGCUCUGGAGGUAAAAUGUUUCCAUUUCCCUUUGAUCUCAGUUGCUGUAGCCAUACUGGUGCAGCGACAUAUAAUAGUAACCACAAUAAUGAACCUAGACCUGAGUGAAGCUGACUGCAGACAGCUAAUUUAACAAUUACAAAAAAGUUUUGAGGAUUUUGUAAGAGCAAUGCAAAAAGAGCUGAGGAUAGAAAGGAGCUGGAUAGCAGUGGGUAUUGUAUUUGUCAUUGGUUGCCAGUUAUGCCAUUAGCUGAGUGGUGUGGACAUCAACAUCACAGAGUAGUAUUCUCUGUCACUGACAACACUGAAACUGCAACCAUAUUGCAAGUCUACAACUGUAGUUCAGUUCACUUCAAUGGUCAUGAUAAGGAAACAUUUUUUCCACAUGGAAGAAAAAUGUGUUCCUGUUUAUUCAUAAACAGUGAAGUCUGGAAAUAAUAUUUUAUCAUAAAUUUUAGUGAUUAAAAAAAAAAAAGAUUAAAAGCAAGACUGACUUGUUGGGAACUAAAUUUCCAUUAAUCCUUUUUGUUUCUUUAGAACAAAGCCAUAAGGAGACUUAUUUAUGAUGGAAGAAAGAGUUUAGGCGGCACUUUUGAUUAUGGUCAAAUGAACAGAUAUUCAUGGGAUGUCUGUUGAUUGUACCAUGUUGCUUCUGCCCUCUGAUGCAAGUCUCUAGUAGCAUCACUGUUAAUUUCACAAUGCUCUCCUAGAUGGUUUUGGAUUGACUAAGGAUUUAUAUAAUCUGAAGAGUAUAACAAUGGUUUUGGGGGUAAGACUGUCAAAAGGACUUCAUGUCUCUCCUUUUCCUAUUGUUUCAGCAUUACUUGAUUCUGUGACCAACAUGUAAUUUUCUGCACCGGAAAACAAGAAAGAAACAGCAGUUGUUGACAAAUAAGCCAUGCCUGCUGCAGCUGAUGUAACUGCGGGGGACCUGCCUGUAAGACAUACAGGUCUAACUCCAGCUGGAAUUGAAGGAUUACAAGGAAAGAUUAAACAAUCCAGAAAAAGAGAAUGAACUCCUGAAGAAAAACUAUCAUAAGCUGCGUAAGUGUCUUCUGUAUGACCCAUGGGCAGCAAUGGAAAUCAAAGGAACAGCAAAUGAAACUGCAAAUUGCUAAACUAGAGAUGGCUAUCAAAUCUGAUUUAGCAGACAAAAAUGCAAUCCUUGACAAGAUCAAAGUAGAAAGAGCAUACGGGACAGAAGGUUAAACAAGAAAGGCUAGCAGACGAUAAGGUGGAGAUGGCUGAAGAAAUUUAACAGGAGACAGAAAAGCUCUCACAUCUGUCAGAGGAGCAGUUAGCUGACCAAACAUCAAUUACUUCUGGAAAUGAGAGAGAAAUAACUGAAGAAUUGGAACCAGAAGGAAGUUGAAAAAUCUGGAUUAAAAUUACAUCACUUGGUUUUAUAAAGUCAUGAAUUACAUCAGAUGAAAUAAUACAGCAGCUGAGUGUAGAAUGCAGAUGAAACAAUUUCCCUGCAGAGGACACUCCACUGUCACUUCCAAACCCAACAGAUAAAUUAGCAAAGGAAAAUAACUAGCCAGUGUGUUGAUAUUUCUCCUAUAAAUAUUUGGAUUAUUUUUAAUAAUUAUUUUACCAGCCUAAGGUGAAAGUAAGUGCUCAGUGACACCCCAGAAGAUGAGCAGGAACUUGAAUGUAAAGAUACUGAUUUUGUUGAAUCUGUUUGAAAAAGAUAUUCCAGAAGCAAAGAAAUACCAUUGAACAAGACAUUGAUGAAGAGCAUGUUACUGUAUUUUCUUGGACAAAUUUAUUGGAAAAGGAUGCGUUCUCAAGAUCUGGACAUCUACUUCAAUUAAAUGUAAUGGCAUGAUAAAUAGAAUUCCUGAGUAAUAUGUACACAUUCUCUGAGAUGGAUAUUGGUUUGAGGGAAAAGAAAUAAACUUCGACACAGAAAAAUUCAUAGGACAGGACCACAUGGAGAUGUAGUCAUUCUCAGAUACCAUGAGCUUCAUUCACUUUAUUUGAGGACUGCAACCAUGGGUCUUUUUCAUGUCUUGUUCCUUUCAUUGCUGAUUGUAUGGAAGUGGCCUCUAUGAAAUUUGAAGCAACUAAAUGCAUGACUAAGCAACAGGAUGUCAAGACAUCUAACAACAGGCCUCAGAGAUAAUAUGACAAUAUGAAAACUGAUAAAAUAAUGUUUUGAUAUCAUUAAUUAUAGCUAUCCUGCUGUUCUUACAGUAAAAACAAUACUGUCCUCUGAAGUCUGCACUGAAGUUGAUAUCUCACUGAAUUACUUGUUCAGAAUAUACAAAAUGCUUUGGAUCUCUAAGAAUAGCAUCCAGUCUGUCCUAUAGUAGGUCUUUCAGCAGGGUAAGUGAUGGAAGGUUUAUCCCAUAUUUUCCCUUCUCUAAACCACUUCUGUGUGUCCCGGCAGCGUAGAAGUUGCAACAUGAAGCAUCAUUGCAUGUCCCAAAGUACUUAUCCUGAUUAAAAACGUAAAUACAUAACCUUGCUAUUUGUCAGCUGUGUAAUUUGCUUUGAAAAGAUAUGCUGUCAAGAUUAUUUGUUUUUAUUCAAAUUCCUUCUAUAGUCAUGUUCAGCAGCCUCAUUGCUUUUUGUGCAGGACUGGGAAAGAGUCUCAUUUUUGACUUAGCAGCAUGUUUUAAUCACAGCAGCAGAGAUUCUGGCCCUCUGGGCUUACUUAGAUAUUGUAAAGGAGUGCAAUUUUAAAUCAUGUCAGCUAAUUUCUGUAACAUAGAAAUUUUAAAUACUACUUUAAAACCCACAUACACAAAGAUGAAGGUACUUAGUUUAGUCUAGGGAAAUUAUCUUCUUUGCUCAUGCUUCACUAUUUUACAAUACACAGAAGCUUGGAAUUUAAAUAAUUUUGCAUUGCACAUACUGGAAAGAACAACUUGCUAUUUAUGUACUAAUAAUUGUCCAGGCUGACUUGGAUCCAUCAUGUACACAGUAUGGAAAAUGCAUUAAUUGGUAUAUAUUUUACUUAAAAUUAUUUCUGCCUAUGCAUAAAUGUUUUCAAUGUAACUUUGAACACCUUUAUUUACACAUUGGGAAAAACUAUUAAUUUAUAUAGGCAAUUAUUAUACAAAUAAUUUUCUUAAUUUCAGAGUUAAUUCCAGCCCUGAUACUUUCAUUAAUCUACAUUCUAGUUCUUAGAGUGCUCAGUUUCCAGUAGGCUGAGUACCUGAAAAGCAAGAUUUCUUUUUUUCUUUAUUAUUUAUUUACCUCUCCCCCCCCGCUUUUUUUUUAACAUAUACUAGGAGCCUUUUAAUCUGUCCAAAUACUAAAGAAGAUUAUGAGAACAAAAGUGAAACCUUAAAUGAAAUUGCUAAUGCUGUUUUGUAAUGUCUCCUCUCUAGUUUUUGAUUCACAAGAUGAUAGUGCAGUAAUUGGAAAGCUCAAAGGAGCAGUGGAAGCCCUCCAUGCGCUGCCCUCAGUUGAGAGGGGAAUGCAAAGAUGACUACGAGGCAUGAAAGGAAGUUUGCCUACAGAAGAUCCUUCUCCCAGUGUAAAUACAUGCUUGAUAGUGCAUCAAAGAUGAGAUCUUUGUAAUUCCUACAGUAUAUUUAAUGUAUAAUUUAUAUGAAAAGGACGCUUGAUUUGUAGUUGUAAAGUUUUGUAUACUUUUCAGUCUGUUUGUUUUUAUAUUCCCCCCCUAAGGCUAAGAAUAUCUCCACAAUGGACAACGCCUUGUAAAUAAUUAAUACCUACAUGAUUGAACGAUGUGCUUUAUUUGCAUUUUUAAGAUUUUUUCCUACAUAAAACAGUAAUAAAAAUGCAAGUCAAAAUUUUAAUUUUUAAUAAAAAAACCAUAAGCCUUAGAAAACUGAUUAAAAAUACUUUUAUGUUAUCCCUAAUCACCCCACUAAAUGGAAUGCCUGUGAUUAGCCUCAUUAAGAAUUUUAUACUGUGAAGAUUUUAUUAAAAGCAAUAUAUGAAAAUUACUUGGAUUAAUGUGUUAAUCUGCCUCUUUAAAAUGCUAAUAUCCAUUUUAUGCACAUUAAAUCUCAGUAUGUGUUUUCUUUGAUGCAUGCAGUUCCUAUCAAUUAAAUAUAAAAAAUUAGGCUAGUUGCAGGACUUAUUAAAUUACUGCAACCUUUUUUUAAAUAACUUUUACCCUUCUACUAACAUUAUAAUCAGCUGUUUAUGGUUACCAUAAUUUGAAGUAGGGGGAGGGCAGGCACAAUCAUUUUCUGUACAGUACUUGAUUUACUUGCAGCCAGCAUCUGUCAAAGCACAAAAAGAAGCCAUAGAGUAUCAGAUUUUGCUUCACCUACUUUGGGCUUUAGGGAUGGGCAACUGUUUUCAUUUGGGUUUUGUCACGUUUAGAACUUACAUCAAACACAUACAAUAAAUUGUUGUAUCUGAAUAACUACUGUCUAGUGUGGAAAGUUAAUUUUACAGCUUUUAACCAAUCUCAGUGAAGGAUUUAAUUGAUAUUUUUAAUGGAGCUGUGAAUCAAUGCUGCAAAAGGAUUGUCUCUUGAGAACGAGGAUAUAAUACAUUUCAUUUUUUAAUUUACUUUUUUAUUUGUCAUUUUCUUCAAAGGAUUUUAUAGACUGUGGAUUUCUACUGUUUGCAAACAGGCUAUGUUUCUUCAUAAGCAUAUGUAAAGUAUUCAGAGAGAUAAGUAAUUUAUUAAAAUCUACCUAAUUUGCCGUGAUAUAUUAAAUCUCUGCUUCAGUGAUCACAGACCAUUUCAUUUAGAGAAUUAGGCAUUCCCUCUUUGUGUGAUUAAAGCUCUGGAAAAUGAGUUCUUUGCUCCUAUUUGUGAACAUUCAAAGCCUGCUAAUGGCAAGAAGAUGGAAUAGAUUAUGAGACAAUUCAUUACAGUUCAACAGAAAAAAAACUCUGCUAUAAUGCAGAAAUGCAAGUAUGAAUAUCUGCAUAUAGUUUGAACCAUCUGUGCUCUAAUGGCUUCAGUAAUGGCUGUUCAUCUUCAGUAGGCUUUGAAAUGACAUCCAUACAAUAUUAAUUUGUUGAUGUACAUUAUGAGGCCAAUGGAAUGAAUAUAUUCUGACCACAGAAAUCUCUGAAUUCCAGCAUGGUCUGCUGGUUGACUCCAUUUUAGGACCUACCAUCUUCAGUAGUACUCCUCAUCCACACUUUGCCAAUCCUUACAGCGUUUCAUUCCUCUGGAACUUUAGGAGACCACAGACAGCUGCAUUCCUAAACCCCUCCAUUCUUCAGUUAAUGGCCAUAUGUUUGUUGUCAUUUGGGCUGGCACUUAGUUCAUCAUUUUGGCCACUAUUUCUAGCUUUUUUUGGCUCUGUGCAUCUAUAUUGUCAAUAAGACUGUUAUUAUACAUUACAAUAAUUUGAAACAGCCAGAUCCAACACUGAGAUUAACUGAGUGGCUUUUUAGAAAUUUAGUUGUGGUAUUCUGUCAGGAGGUUCUUAUUAUUCUUCUAAUACUUUGCAAACCAAACUAAAUAUCCUGCACAUAAACAAAGAAGCGAAUUAUAUUGAGUUUUUGUGUGUGACUGUUUACUGACUUGCAGGAGAACUAUGUUAACUGGUGCUUGUUUUCUUCUGAAAUAAACCAUGUGGUAAAAUUAGAAAAUCAGUGAUGUUCAUCUCAGUUAAACAUUUACAGUAACACCCUUAACACUUAAUCUUCACCAUCUGAAGUUAGAAAUUUAGAAACCAAGCGUUCAUAUAUUCAUUAAACACAGAUCUCUUCACUAAGUUACUGCAAAAUAUUCCAGUUAACAUUUGGUUACAUUGUGUUAACUGUUCUCAGUGACUCCACCAUUAACAUGUAUAAUUUACCUCAGGUUCCCAAACAUAUUUCUUCAUAAGGCUCACUGUUACCUCAGUUUUGGAUUUUAAAAAAAUAAUCCUGAUUUCUAUUCAUGUUUAUUUAUGCUAAAACAGAUAUAAUAUUCAGCAAGGAUUUUCCCAACAGAUGGAUUGUAUUAUCUUAUGCAACAUAAACAUGCGAUCAUACCAGAAAAUUUUGUUCUUGCAUUAAGUACUCUGUAUUUCCAAAAUGAUCUUAAAUCUUAAUUCUAGAUGCUACAUUGUGCAGGGAAAGUGGAAAAUGUAACCUAAUACUAUUUUGUCUAAAUUUUAGCAAUGAAUAGCUUGAAGAAAACUUACAUCUAUGUAAUCUCUAGGCUAAGGUGCAAAGGAGCCAUAUUAAAGUUGGGUACUACCAUGUUUUAAAAUGUUACUCAAUUAACAUUCAAUUUUUGUGGAAUAGAUGAAUUUUUACUAUGGUGUAACUUAGUCACCACAGUGAUUCUGCAUAAGAUGAAAUGACAGUGUCAAGUAAUCAGUUUUGUUAUUAUAUCUUUUCCCAUUUAUUGUUACAAUUUAUUAUGAUAUUUUCUGGUGUGAUAUGAUAACUGCUGUUGUCCUGGUUCCCAGCAGUGUUGAUCAA